AUGGCCUCCUGGCGCUCCGAAGCUCUCUUGGACGUACUGUCACAGGAGCAGACGAGGUACAUCGGCGGCUCUGCUCCGGGCGUGCUCCAAAGCUCUCUUCGACGUACUGUCACAGGAGCAAACAAAGGAGAUUGCCGGCACCCCCCCGGCGGCCCUCCGCCGCCACGACCACGAAGCCGGCGCGCGUGCGCGGGCGUAGCCGGUAGCGAGGAAGAGUAG
RNAcentral lists this ribosomal RNA (219 nucleotides) under Triticum aestivum (bread wheat). RNAcentral describes it as "partial small subunit ribosomal RNA". The record is from RNAcentral. Lineage: Eukaryota; Viridiplantae; Streptophyta; Magnoliopsida; Poales; Poaceae.